UCUAGAUUCUCUUGCUCUCUCUGCUGGCCAUGGCAUAUGCACUUAUCUGCAGUGGACAGCACUGUCCACUCUGUCCGCUAGGGUGAUUUGCCAUCAGAAACUGCAGCCAGCUGGAUGUGGGGUGGACAGGACGUACCUGUAUUCUAUGCAGUGACUGUUCAUGUGAUGGCAAGAUGACUGUUAUUUCCUGCUCAACCUUCUCAGACACAGUGUGUGGCUGCAAGGAUGGCUACAACAUUUCCUCAAUGGGUGAUUGCCAGAAAAAAGUGCCUACAGUUGAUUCAGUCAAUAUCGCAUUGGAUUCAACUCAUUCUCCAGUGGAGUCUGGAGUCCAUGAUAUUAAUAGCAAUGUAAGACUGCAUGCCUCUUAUCAAGUUUAGUUGCUAAUUGUUCAUGUUAAAUUGUGACUUGAAAUUUGGCUGUAUGGCGUAUUUGUGGGAAAGUGUGCCCCUUUUUGCCCAAUGAGCUCAUUUCUGGGAUAUAGGGAACACAUUAGAAUAAUAAACACAUUGUAAGGUACUAUGCCCUUAUUGAGACAGCUUACUAAGAGUCUGUUUCUUAUGCAUCCUGCUCUUUAUUAACUAUUUGUCACGAUCUAUCACAAGGAUGA
This is a long non-coding RNA of Salvelinus sp. IW2-2015, 610 nucleotides long. RefSeq lists it as uncharacterized. The record is from RefSeq and is a predicted model, not a curated record. NCBI's taxonomy places the organism in Eukaryota, Metazoa, Chordata, Actinopteri, Salmoniformes, Salmonidae.